RNAcentral lists this ribosomal RNA (574 nucleotides) under Microbacterium sp. G3W25(B). Its description in RNAcentral is "bacterial SSU rRNA". It matches the Rfam family "Bacterial small subunit ribosomal RNA", at positions 62 to 648 of the family's 1533-position model. Lineage: Bacteria; Bacillati; Actinomycetota; Actinomycetes; Micrococcales; Microbacteriaceae. The record is from RNAcentral.
UCGAACGGUGAAGCAGAGCUUGCUCUGUGGAUCAGUGGCGAACGGGUGAGAAAAACGUGAGCAACCUGCCCCUGACUCUGGGAUAAGCGCUGGAAACGGCGUCUAAUACUGGAUAUGAGCUGCGAUCGCAUGGUCAGCAGUUGGAAAGAUUUUUCGGUCUGGGAUGGGCUCACGGCCUAUCAGCUUGUUGGUGAGGUAAUGGCUCACCAAGGCGUCGACGGGUAGCCGGCCUGAGAGGGUGACCGGCCACACUGGGACUGAGACACGGCCCAGACUCCUACGGGAGGCAGCAGUGGGGAAUAUUGCACAAUGGGCGAAAGCCUGAUGCAGCAACGCCGCGUGAGGGAUGACGGCCUUCGGGUUGUAAACCUCUUUUAGCAGGGAAGAAGCGAAAGUGACGGUACCUGCAGAAAAAGCGCCGGCUAACUACGUGCCAGCAGCCGCGGUAAUACGUAGGGCGCAAGCGUUAUCCGGAAUUAUUGGGCGUAAAGAGCUCGUAGGCGGUUUGUCGCGUCUGCUGUGAAAUCCCGAGGCUCAACCUCGGGUCUGCAGUGGGUACGGGCAGACUAGAGUG